This 429-nucleotide ribosomal RNA is filed under the name Pseudomonadota bacterium. RNAcentral describes it as "Proteobacteria bacterium partial 16S ribosomal RNA". It matches the Rfam family "Bacterial small subunit ribosomal RNA", at positions 355 to 776 of the family's 1533-position model. Lineage: Bacteria; Pseudomonadati; Pseudomonadota. The record is from RNAcentral.
UGUGGUAUCUUGGACAAUGUGCGUAAGCCUGAUCCAGCCAUGCCGCGUGUGUGAAGAAGGUCUUCGGAUUGUAAAGCACUUUAAGUUUGGCUGAAGGGCAGUAAGCGAAUACCUUGCUGUUUUUACGUUACCGACAGAAUAAGCACCGGCUAACUCUGUGCCAGCAGCUGCGGUAAUACAGAGGGUGCACGCGUUAAUCUGAAUUACUGGGCGUAAAGCGCGCGUAGGUGGUUCGUUAAGUUGAAUGUGAAAGCCCCGGGCUCAACCUGGGAACAGCAUCCAAAACUGGCGAGCUAGAGUAGGGCAGAGGGUGGUGGAAUUUCCUGUGUAGCGGUGAAAUGCGUAGAUAUAGGAAGGAACACCAGUGGCGAAGGCGACCACCUGGGCUCAUACUGACACUGAGGUGCGAAAGCGUGGGGAGCAAACAGG